UACGUAGGGUGCAAGCGUUGUCCGGAAUUAUUGGGCGUAAAGAGCUCGUAGGCGGUUUGUCGCGUCUGCUGUGAAAUCCCGAGGCUCAACCUCGGGCCUGCAGUGGGUACGGGCAGACUAGAGUGCGGUAGGGGAGAUUGGAAUUCCUGGUGUAGCGGUGGAAUGCGCAGAUAUCAGGAGGAACACCAAUGGCGAAGGCAGAUCUCUGGGCCGUAACUGACGCUGAGGAGCGAAAGCAUGGGGAGCGAACAGG
Molecule: ribosomal RNA, 253 nt
Filed under: uncultured bacterium
Lineage: Bacteria
Description: partial 16S ribosomal RNA
Rfam family: Bacterial small subunit ribosomal RNA
Source: RNAcentral